CGCGCCUGUUAUAGGGCGGAUUCCUGUUGGCGUCCACGUCAACCGGGGAGGCGGAAGAGCCGCCUACUAGCCCCGCCUGAGCCCACGGUGGGAAGGUGCGCAGCUGGCAGGUGUGAAAGCGGGAGAGCCCAGGAGUUUUAGACUGCAAACUCUGGAUCUGUGUUAAAUCUGCUGUACCUCCAGGGCUUGAUAACAGUGGAAUUUAGAGUGAUUCAACUCUACCCUCUGGAAUGAGCUUCCCCCAGGACUUCGACAACUUCCUGACCUCCGGACCUUUCGCCGUGAGCUGAAGACAUAUCUAUUCUUCCGAGCAGGACUGGCUUAAAUAGGGUUUUUAAAUAUGGAUUUUAUUGGGGUUUAUUUUAUAUUUUGUAUUGUAUUUUAAAUUUAGGCUAUAUUGAAUAAGUUUUUUAAAUAGUGUUUUUAUUGUAAUAUAUUGUAUUAUUUUAUCUGCCUGUUCACCGCCCUGAGUCCUUCGGGAGAAGGGCAGUAUAAAAAUUAAAUUAUUAUUAUUAUUAUUAUUAUUAUUAUUAUUAUUAUUAUUAUUAUUAUUAUUAUUAUUAUUAUUAUUAUUAUUAUUAUUGGCAGUCU
Long non-coding RNA from Ahaetulla prasina, 591 nucleotides. RefSeq lists it as uncharacterized. The record is from RefSeq and is a predicted model, not a curated record. NCBI's taxonomy places the organism in Eukaryota, Metazoa, Chordata, Lepidosauria, Squamata, Colubridae. The transcript has 2 exons.